AGCGCAGGCGGGAAGACAAGUUGGAAGUGAAAUCCAUGGGCUCAACCCAUGAACUGCUUUCAAAACUGUUUUUCUUGAGUAGUGCAGAGGUAGGCGGAAUUCCCGGUGUAGCGGUGGAAUGCGUAGAUAUCGGGAGGAACACCAGUGGCGAAGGCGGCCUACUGGGCACCAACUGACGCUGAGGCUCGAAAGUGUGGGUAGCAAACA
This 207-nucleotide ribosomal RNA is filed under the name uncultured bacterium. RNAcentral's name for it is "partial 16S ribosomal RNA". It matches the Rfam family "Bacterial small subunit ribosomal RNA", at positions 568 to 774 of the family's 1533-position model. The record is from RNAcentral.